Molecule: long non-coding RNA, 1760 nt
Organism: Neofelis nebulosa (Clouded leopard)
Lineage: Eukaryota; Metazoa; Chordata; Mammalia; Carnivora; Felidae
Exons: 4
Source: RefSeq, a predicted model, not a curated record
UUCUUGAAGAGCGAGCUUGGCCCAGUUGGGCAGGGCUCAGUGUAAAGUCUCCAUUCUCCACUAGAUGGCGCUACUAGCCUACUAGGGUGGAGUGCUGUGUUGCUUAUAGGUGUGUACGCGCAUGCGCAGGAGCGGUGAAAUUGGCGUUACCCAGCUACCCAGUCUCUAGUAUCGGAACCCUGUUCUCCCUGAUCAACAAUCGCGCACCCGUCCUCGGUCUUCAGCUUUCGGCCAUUCCCCGCUUUUCCACUGUCUGUGACCAAGCCCCAGGCAGUACCUCUCUCCAGAGUUUUGUCUCAGAUGCGGCUGUUUUCCCCGCCCCUUGUUUCAGAAGGACUGCGUCUUUGACCCGUUCUGCCCCUCUGUGGGAGGGUCUCACCGACUGAUGGCCGAAGGAGCAAUGGCUGAAUGUCGGCUGCACCCAGGAACGCCCGCUGGACCCUGCUGCUGCUGGUGCCCCGAGACUGCGGCCAGGUGCCAGCCCGCCCCAGAAAAAAUUUACAAGAUGGUGUAGCAGCAGCGUUUCAGGGAUUAUGGAAAAUCACCACACACAUCUGGCACCAGGCUUCACCCUUAACGACCUUGUUCCAGCACCAGCGAAUGUGGCUGUUUUCUGGGGUCUGCUGGGCCCAGGUGGCCUCACAAUCUCUACCAAAUGUCCUUCCAGCAGUGGAACCGCUUUUCCCCGUGUGGCCUGAGAACCUCCCGGACCCCACUCUGCUCCUGUGGAUUCGCCCUUCCCACCAGAGCACCGCCAGGUACUUUUCUUCUCUUCCUGAAGAGAAAUAUCUAGAAGAAGUGAUUGACCAUCUUUGCAAAUGUGCCUUGGACCAGCCAUGGGUGUCUGAGAUGUAUCCUACUCAAUAAGAACUUUUGGGGAAACCACCAGAGCAUUCAUUCAGAGAUCAUUGUUUUGCUAUCUCUGCAUCAGGGCAUCAUAAGCAUUUGGAAUGAUUCCUCCUGACCAGAAUACACAGAUGGCAUGUUUGGCUCUUUGACAAUGGCAGAAUCUGGGGACUGACACAGAAGGCUAUUCCCUGAAGCAAAAUGGAUUGAUCCAGAUGCAGAAAGCAAAACAGAUCAUCGUGAUGGAGACAUGGGGUAAGCAUAGAAACAGAUGCAAGUUUCUUUUACUUUGUCUGAAAGAAACACAAAAUGGAAUUCUUAGAGGAGCAUCCCCUGGAAACCACAACUGAAAUCUCUACAUCCACUUCAAAAGACUCACGCUAACUAUGAACUGUUGAAGUAGAAUUGUGUCGGAUGUGUGUGUGUGUGUGUGUGUGUGUGUGUGCACAUAUAUGUAUAUCUUCAUGUAGUUUGUUGAGUGACUAGUGAUCAAACAUGUGUAAGUACCUGUUAAACUUGUGCAAGUAAACAUACAUACAUGCACAUCUCAUAAAGUUACACAUAUGCAGAGACAAGAGGCCAAUGUCUAUGAAGCCUUCUCUGGAAAACCCCAUUCUAUGUCUAAACAUUAGACCCAUCUCUUCCUUCCCUGUGUCUACAUCCAAGCACUUCCUGUACUUUCUUUGGAUACUUUGACUUUGGUUAUUUGUGCUUCUGACCCCCCUCGAUCAACACUUUAUCUCCUGCUCAUGGCUUAUGUCACCCCAACUGUUAUCUCAGUCAAUUGGAUCUAACCGACAGCACCUGACCUCUGGCUGACUUCAGGACCCCAAUGAGUUCCAAGCUGAUGCCCCCCCACCCAUCUUACAUUGUCUGGUUCAACCCAGCCAGGCAAAACACACUCACACACCACA